Molecule: transfer RNA, 71 nt
Filed under: Bacteroidales bacterium
Lineage: Bacteria; Pseudomonadati; Bacteroidota; Bacteroidia; Bacteroidales
Description: tRNA-Gln
Rfam family: tRNA
About the family: Transfer RNA (tRNA) molecules are approximately 80 nucleotides in length. Their secondary structure includes four short double-helical elements and three loops (D, anti-codon, and T loops).
Source: RNAcentral
UGCCUUGUGGUGUAAUGGUAGCACAGCAGAUUCUGGUUCUGUAUGUAUGGGUUCGACUCCUAUCAGGGCAA